Molecule: transfer RNA, 74 nt
Filed under: Comamonadaceae bacterium
Lineage: Bacteria; Pseudomonadati; Pseudomonadota; Betaproteobacteria; Burkholderiales; Comamonadaceae
Also listed under: 1 other name
Description: tRNA-Met
Rfam family: tRNA
About the family: Transfer RNA (tRNA) molecules are approximately 80 nucleotides in length. Their secondary structure includes four short double-helical elements and three loops (D, anti-codon, and T loops).
Source: RNAcentral
CCACUGGUAGCUCAGUUUGGUAGAGCAAUCUCCUCAUAAGAGAUCUGUCGCGGGUUCGAAUCCCGUCCAUUGAU